Dunckerocampus dactyliophorus (ringed pipefish) is the source of this 4404-nucleotide RNA transcript. It is a transcript of the gene named adhesion G protein-coupled receptor G6, with no coding region annotated. NCBI's taxonomy places the organism in Eukaryota, Metazoa, Chordata, Actinopteri, Syngnathiformes, Syngnathidae. The record is from RefSeq and is a predicted model, not a curated record. The transcript is spliced from 31 exons.
CACUUCAUCUCAAUAAAGUGACUGACUACACGGGCUCACAGGUGUGAUUGUGUGUCCAAGCGGGCCGUCCAGGUCGCGGAAUCGAGCACACCCCGCAGCCAGCGAACCCCCCUCUCCCACCCCCUCCUUCUUUUUGGCGAGGCGCGUUCAUGACUUGUGCUCGUGAGGAGAAGAAAAGUUUUGGGGACAAGAAAAGAAAAGAACGUUCUGGAAGACAACGAUCUUUUUUGUUUGGGACAUGUUGACACACGGCAGCAAGCUGCAUUAAAACAUGGCGGCGUGUCGUAGGGGUGUCAUUGUGGUGGUCUUCCUGCUGUGGGCGGGGCUUCACACACACGUGUGUGGCUGCGAGUGCGGGGGUCCGUGGCUGAGGGAGGAGGAGGCAGGGCUUCUGGCGUCUCCGUGCUACCCCCAGCAGUACCCCAACUCUCAGAGCUGCAGGUGGCGUUUGCGGGCCCCCCCAGGUUUUGUAGUGCAGCUGACCUUCGUGGACUUCCAGCUGGAGGAGGCGCCGGGCUGCGUGUACGACCGUGUGGCCGUGCACGGCGGGGCCGGGCGCGUGGACCUGUGUGGCCUGACCGCGCACGGCCUCACGCUUAACUCCAGCGGGAACAUCAUGGACGUGGAGUUCACUUCCGACUUCAGCGUGCAGAAGAGAGGCUUCAGUGCCACCUUCCGCCAUGUCCCCGUGGCACUGAGGAACCAAAAGGUCAGCGUUGCCGGGGGCAACGACCAAGUGGCCAAAGUGUCGUCUUCUGUUGCCAUGCCGACACUGCACCACCUGACUCUCUGCUUUGAGCUGGAGCGCAGCGCACGCCAGCAGGUGGAAUGGAUCUUCACGUAUGAAGACGAGGAUGGCAACACGGCAUUGGCGCUGGGUGGCGACGAGAGUGGCGUGAAGCUGGUGGUGGGAGGCGUGACGUGCUCACUGGACUCCAUCGUGACGGCGUCCGACUGGAGCUGGUCCAUGAAGAACUUGUGCGUCCUCUGGUCGUCGUCCAACGGGCGCGUGGGCGUCUACUUGGAGGGCAACCAUUGGGCCAAGACGUGCUCCGCCUCCACUGGACGCUCCGUGGCCGGGGGCGGGACCUUCCACCUGGGAGGAGGGGUGCACAGCUUCGAGGGAAACGUGUACAACAUGCGUGUGUGGGACUAUGCCAUGACGGUGCAGCAGCUCAACGCGCUCACAUGCAAGGUGGUGGGAAACGUCAUCGACUGGGACAACGCCUUCUGGGACAUUCCGUCAUCGCUGACACAGACGGACCACUCGCUCAGCUGCAGUGUGACCCCGCCCAGCAACAGCACCCUCAACACCCACUGUGACACCACCCGCCUGGGAUGUCCAGCCGCUUCCUCUCCCGCCAGCUCAUCCACGUCCUCCACUAACAGCAUCCAUGCUACUAAUGUCCACGUCCAUCCCAACACUUCCUCUGCUCCCACUCGCAUGCCUCUAACCCCCACCAGAACCAGCAGAAUCAGCGGCUCCUCUUUGGAGGUCGUCAUCUACAAGCUGUCGGUGGUGGUGCAUGAUGGGAGCUCCACACUAACUCAGGCAGACGUGAAGGAAGCAGUGUCCUCCUGGCUGAACCAGACCUUCCAGAAUUGGACUCACUCUGUCUUGGUGGACACAGUCAGCGUACAGUCUGCACUCCUGCCUGGAGGUCACUCAAGCUUCGCCAGCCAUGCUCUGCUGCUUCACCAUUACAUCACUGACGACAGUCCGGGCCGAGACGCUGUCUCUGCUAGAAUAUCUAGCAGGGACGCACGCAUUGGUGCUGGCCUGGUGGUCCGCACCGCCUCCAUUCGAGUCACGCUCGUGGAUGUAUGUCCAGAGGACAAUACUGUCCACUACCGCUGGCCUGAGACCCGCCCCAGCAUCACUCACUUCCUGCCGUGCUUCCCCAACAAGGAGCAGAGCGCCGCCAGGACAUGUUUGAUUGACCGCCACAACUUCUCAUCCUUUUGGUCACCCGCCGACUUCAGCAACUGCACCGACAUCGACGCCAUCCAGGUUUCAGCAGAGAAUGCGGCCGAGGUUGCCGCACAACUGGCCGCCAUUGCCAACAACCAGCUUUCCAAAGAAGAAGUGUCUAAAGUGGUCAGCAAGGUCAAGCAGCUGGUCCGUGUGGCCAAGAUCAAUGCCACCUUGGCGUCUGCAGUCGUUGCUGUCAUUUCCAAUGUCAUGAGCAGCCCUCAGAGCGCUCUGGCCCCCGCCUCCGACAGGGCCCUGAAGACGGUGGAGCAGCUGCUUGACAAGUUGGAAUUUGAGGGUCCAUCAGUGAGCAUCACGUCCAGACAUCUGUCCUUAGGGGUGUCAGCCUUCAAUACGUCGACCUUCAACGGGACGUCGUUCAGUGCCUUCAUCCCGCCAAACACAACCGACCCACAGAUUGACUUUGAAUCGGAGCGGACCAACCCGCUGGCUCAGGUCACGCUGCCUGCGUCGCUGCUGUCCGGUGCGUCGCUCAGCGAGGCCCGCAUCAACUUCCUGUUCUUCAGCAGCACCAGCCUCUUCCAGAGCGAGCUGGACGGACGCACGCUCAACAGUUAUGUGGUGGCCAGCAGCGUGGGAAACUGGAGCGUCAGCGACCUGAGUGAUCCAGUCCAGAUUGAGAUAGUUCACCUGUCGCCACAAGCCUUCCGCAAUCCUGUCUGCAUGUUCUGGGACUUCAGCAGGAACGCAGGUGGCGCGGGAGGCUGGAAUGCAGACGGCUGCAGAGUGUCCAAAGAAGAUUCCGGCAUCAACAGGACCGUCUGUUUGUGCGACCACUUGACGCACUUUGGCAUCCUGAUGGACAUUUCAGGAGUGUCGCCUCAUAUCGACCGGCGUAACAACCGCAUCCUCACCUUCAUCUCCUUUGUGGGUUGCGGCAUCUCCGCUAUCUUCUCAGCCGCCACAUUGCUCACCUACGUCGCCUUUGAGAAGCUGCGGCGUGACUACCCGUCCAAGAUCCUGAUGAACCUGAGCGCGUCGCUGCUGCUCCUCAACAUGGCGUUCCUGUUGAACGGAUGGUUGUCGGGGCAACGGAGCGAGGCGCUGUGCUUGGCCGCCGCCGUGCUGCUGCACUACUUCCUUCUGACGUCGUUCACGUGGAUGGGGCUGGAGUCGGUGCACAUGUACAUCGCGCUGGUCAAGGUGUUCAACACGUACAUUCGCAGAUACAUCCUCAAGUUCUGCCUGCUGGGCUGGGGAGUUCCUGCCGUGCUGGUCGCGACGGUCGUGGCCGUGGAUAAACGGUCCUAUGGCGCGCAGGAGUACGGCGCUGGCGAGUACGGCGAUGGAUCAUCUGAGUUCUGCUGGAUCCAAAGUCCACUUGUGUUCUACACGGCAUGCGUGGCCUACUUCUGCCUCGUCUUCCUGCUCAACGUUGCCAUGUUUGUCGUAGUCAUGCUGCAGAUCUGCGGACGCAAUGGCAAACAUAGCAACCGCACAUUCCGAGAGGAGGUGGUGCGGAACCUGCGCAGCGUGGUCAGCCUGACCUUCCUGCUUGGCAUGACCUGGGCCUUCGCGCUCUUCGCCUGGGGGCCCGUCAGCCUCAUCUUCGUCUACCUCUUCGCCAUCUUCAACUCGCUGCAAGGACUCUUCAUCUUCUUCUUCCACUGUGCGCUGAAAGAGAACGUGCAGAAGCAGUGGAGACGCUCGCUGUGCUGCGCUCGCUUCAGACUUGCCGACAACUCCGACUGGAGUAAGACGGCGACCAACAACAACACCAAGAAGGCCACGUCUGAGCAGGCGGUCCAGUCUUUGUCCUCAGGCUCCUUUGGCGCCAGUGCCACUAACUGGACCUCAAAAGCUAAAGUCACACUGAAGCCUUUCACUAGGACACACGACGACACAGAAAGUUGUUGCAGCCAAUAGGAGGAGGCGCAGAACAGCGCAGGUAAGCUGAAAGCCGAUUGGCUGCUGCAAGCAUCGCUUGCGUUGUCACACAUUCUUCACCUGAGACACCCUGAGGGGGCGGAGCAUUGACAUGUGACCACUCUAUCGUCUUGGCUAACACGCUAACCUGGCAGCUGGAACAACUGUGGUUCGUGGCCAGCGAGCACUAUACGUGAUUCAGUGAGGAAUGUUGGAUGAACGUCUGGCCCGGAAGCUUCUGGAUGUGAAAAAGCUCCUCUGGGUUUUUGCACCUUUGGAAAAUGAGUUGUGUUUGCUGUGAUGUCCAGUCGUCUUCAAGAUGAUGCAGUGGGCUUGUCGGUGCUUGUCAGCCAGACGUGAUGGACACUUCCCGAGCGAGUUGUAAUGUCUUGAAGAAGCCAUCCCACCUCAUCAUGACUUCCAGAUGUCUCAUCCAAACACUGGUGACCUCGCCGUCAGCUGUUGGCAGCGUGCUUGAAAAACAUUCCUGCAAAGGUCGGAUGUGUCAAACUUCCUGCAAUCUCUGAAUGCUGUGCUAUAAAGGA